CCUACGGGUGGCAGCAGUGGGGAAUAUUGCACAAUGGGCGAAAGCCUGAUGCAGCGACGCCGCGUGAUUGAAGAGGUAUUUCGUUUUGUAAAGCUCUUUCAUCGGGGCAGAACUUGACGGUACCUACAGAAGAAGCCCCGGCUAACUACGUGCCAGCAGCCGCGGUAAUACGUAGGGGGCACGCGUUAUCCGGAUUUACUGGGGGUAAAGUGAGCGUAGGCGGCAGUUCAAGUCUGGUGUGAAAGGCGGAGGCUCAACCUCCGGACUGCUCUGGAAACUGUCCGGCUGGAGUGCAGGAGAGGUAAGUGGAAUUCCUGGUGUAGCGGUGAAAUGCGUAGAUAUUAGGAGGAACACCAGUGGCGAAGGCGGGUUACUGGACUGUAACUGACGCUGAGGAUCGAAAGCGAGGGGAGCAAACAGGAUUAGAUACCCCAGUAGUC
This 440-nucleotide ribosomal RNA is filed under the name uncultured bacterium. RNAcentral's name for it is "partial 16S ribosomal RNA". It matches the Rfam family "Bacterial small subunit ribosomal RNA", at positions 338 to 795 of the family's 1533-position model. The record is from RNAcentral.